AGGAGAAGUUAAAAAUCCUUACAAGUGGUAUCAGAGCAAUCCAGGUUUGAGUGCUAGAAGGAUUAGGUUAGAAACUCAAUGAUGACGACACAAAAGAUGGAGGUGAGCAUGUUCAACGGAUCAGGUGAUUUUUUGAUCUGGAAGAAAAGGAUGCUCGCGUACUUAACCGUUCAAGGUUUGAAAGAUGUUCUUAUGGAACCGACAUCCAAAGACGUGGAUGAAAAAGAUCCAGAGGCAAUAAAGAAAAAGAGCAAAGAUGAAGCUUCCAGACUGGAGCGAGAUGAAAAGGCUUUGAAUCUUAUUUUCAUGUGUGUUGGAGAUCAUGUCUUAAGGAAACUAGACAAGUGUGUAACCGCAGCUCAAGCGUGGGCUACUCUUGAGAGGCUUUACAUGGCAAAGACUUUGCCUAAUCGGGUCCAUUCUCAGCUUAAGGUGUAUUCUUUUAGAAUGCAGGAUUCAAGAUCAAUUGAUCAGAAUGUAGAUGACUUCUUGAAGCUGAUUGCAGAUUUGAGCAACCUCAACAUUGAGAUACCAGAAGAAGUUCAAGCAAUACUGCUACUCAACUCUCUUCCCCCUAGAUAUGAUUCUUUAAAAUAUACUCUUAAGUAUAGUAGGGAAGCUAUUGAGUUGGAGGAAGUAGCUAGUGCUGCAAAAUCUAAGGAGAGAGAGCUGGCUGAAAAUGAAAAGCUUUCAAGAUCAGAUGGAGAAGGGUUAUAUGUUGAGGCUAGAGGCAGAUCAGAAAAGAGGUCAGAGAAUGGAAGAGGAAGGUCUAAGAGUAGAGGAAAGAAAAACAACAAAGGUUGCUUUGUCUGUGUAGAUGAAGGACAUUGGAAACGUGAUUGUCCUCAUAGAAAGAAAUCUGCAGAUUCUGCAAAUGUUGCAACAGAUUCAAAGGAACCAAUGGUGUUAAGUGUUAGCUCUCAAGAUACUAAGAAAGAAUGGAUUUUGGACUCGGGAUGUUCAUACCAUAGUACACCAGACAAAGAAGUCUUGUUUGACUUCAAGGAGUUUGAUGGUGGUAAAGUUUUGAUGGCUAAUAACACUCAUUAUGACAUCAAAGGAAUGGGAAAGAUUCAGAUUCAGAAUCCAAAUGGUUCUGUAGUGAUACUUAAGGAUGUGAAAUACAUACCAGAGGUGAGUAGGAAUCUUAUUUCUUAUGGGAUGUUAGAGAAAUCAGGUUGCAGAUAUGAUGGAGGUAACUUCAAGGUUCAGUUCUACAAAGGCAAGAAGAAAGUAAUAUCUGGAAAAUACCAAGGUGGUUUGUAUUAUUUUCAAGGUACAGUUUCUAAAGUUGACGUGAACAUGCCAAAAGCUGAGGUAGAAGUGAAAAAGAAGAAGUUAAAGAAGGUGACAUUCAGUGAGAAUCAUUCAAGGACCUACUCCAUAUCGUUUUGAAGCAAGAGAUUUAUUAGCUGAAGGUGGAGACUCUUCUUCGUCAGAAGGAUCUAAACAGUUGGCUGAAAUUAAGUCUAAGAAAGUUUCAAGGGAUUUGCAAGAAAUCAGAAGAUUUAAUGAAAAUCUGAGCAUGGAGUUUAAGGAGAAUGACGUGGGAAAGGUUUCAGAGAUAUUGGGCACAGGUAUUUUUGGAGGUAGAGCUAAAGGGGAUCUAGUUCUAUCUACGAUUCAAACAAGUCAAGACAUAGCAGAUUUGGUAAGUGAAGCAGUACCUGGACAAAAAGCUCAGGUUUGCUGCGAUCUUCUCAACCUAGCUUGAAGGGUGGUGCAGCUCCAGGUAACUAUAUUAUCGACGGUGUACUCUCGCAGGAAGAAGAACAUAGAAACAGGUCAGUUUUUUGGAGAUGUUCUUCAGUCGAUAAAGUAAAAUCAGUUUGAUUAAUGGGUUAAGGGAGUUACCUGGAGGCAACUGGAAUUACGGUGAGGACACUUUGAUUCCAGGUGGAGCUGUUGGGAGAUUCAAAGGAAUACAAGUUAGUAGUGUGUUCUUGAAUCUCGGAAGCAAGUCGAGAGUACAAGGUUCAGGUUAAGGGAUUUACCUGAGGUCAUCUAAGUAGCUGAGAACAUGAGCUGUUCAUCGGGAGAAGCUGCAAAGAAGAUGAAAUUGAGACUAUGGUUAGUUUCAGGUGGAGUAGCUGCAAGUGAUUCAAGAAGAGGUUGAUUCAAAGUUCAGUGCACAUGAUACGAAUCAACAGGUCGACAAAGAUGAAUCUAGUUUUCUGGAGAAGCUACAAAGUAUGAAAUUAGAAGAUUUCAUAGUGUCUCAGAAAUAUCAGUUGAUACAGAGACAAGCAAAGAUAGAUGGUUCAGGUCAAGAGGGUUACCUGGAAUCAUCGGAACAAUGAACAAGAUGAAGUGGUUUAGUUGCUACGAGGUUGUUCAUCAGUGAAGCUGCGUAAUGAACCGGUCGGAAUUUUUCCAAAAUUUCGUGAAUUGGGAAUCUCAGAAAGGGUCAAUUUCAAUCAUCACAGCAAGGAGAUGAAGACGAAAUUGAGAAUACCUGAGAUUACAGAAGAUUAUUGCGACAUAAGAAUUGCAGGAGAUGCAUUUUUUGGGUCGCAGAAAAUUUGCAUUUGAAAAUCACUAUCGGGAAGAAUCAAAGGAGUUAGAGCUUGGCGGCUUUGAGUGGGAAAGGGUGAGAGCACCGGCGGUCACCAGAGAAUAUCGGCGAAGGAGAGAUCACCAGAAACUGCAAAGAUGGUGGUCCGAGAAGGCAUCGAAACUGCAUAAGCGUGUUUCACCAUCGAGAAAGGAAGAAUGAGAGAGAGUCAUGAAUCUCUCUAAUUGCUUCAUACCAGUAUGGUGGAGGAUUUCAUCGCCGGAAGAAAUUCUGGUCAGAGAGAGUGACGGUGGUCGGAGUUGCAUCAAGUCUCUCGCCAUGGUGAAACGUCAGAAGGGAUCGUGAAGACAUCGCCCAAGGUGGAGAUUGUGAGGAAGAUGGGCUUCUAUCUUCACAUCUGGGCCUAUGAUUUGGGCUUGCUUUGUCAAGGUUUCAAGUGGAUCAAGAUUGAGUCCAAUAACAAAAGAGGAAGUCGUUGAUAAAACGGAAAG
RNAcentral lists this long non-coding RNA (3006 nucleotides) under Eutrema salsugineum. Its description in RNAcentral is "long non-coding RNA (ESAL_LNC000254)". The record is from RNAcentral. Lineage: Eukaryota; Viridiplantae; Streptophyta; Magnoliopsida; Brassicales; Brassicaceae.